RNAcentral lists this unclassified non-coding RNA (343 nucleotides) under soil metagenome. Its description in RNAcentral is "partial contains 5.8S ribosomal RNA, internal transcribed spacer 2, and large subunit ribosomal RNA". The stretch from base 1 to 118 matches the Rfam family "5.8S ribosomal RNA", at positions 35 to 154 of the family's 154-position model. The record is from RNAcentral.
GAUGAAGACGCAGCGAAAUGCGAUACGUAAUGUGAAUUGCAAAUUCAGUGAAUCAUCGAGUCUUUGAACGCACAUUGCGCCCCCUGGUAUUCCGGGGGGCAUGCCUGUCCGAGCGUCAUUGCUGCCCUCAAGCACGGCUUGUGUGUUGGGCCCCGUCCUCCGAUCCCGGGGGACGGGCCCGAAAGGCAGCGGCGGCACCGCGUCCGGUCCUCGAGCGUAUGGGGCUUUGUCACCCGCUCUGUAGGCCCGGCCGGCGCUUGCCGAUCAACCCAAAUUUUUAUCCAGGUUGACCUCGGAUCAGGUAGGGAUACCCGCUGAACUUAAGCAUAUCAUAAGCGGAGGA